AGGAGGAACAACCCCAGUGGCGGGCCAUCUCUGGAAACCUGGAUUCAGCCCCCGCAGUAACUCCGGAGGUCUCCGUCUGCAGGGCCUGGAGGCUCCGGGGCGGG
Molecule: microRNA precursor, 104 nt
Filed under: Canis lupus familiaris (dog)
Lineage: Eukaryota; Metazoa; Chordata; Mammalia; Carnivora; Canidae
Description: mir-8834 microRNA precursor family
Rfam family: mir-8834 microRNA precursor family
Source: Rfam by way of RNAcentral